GGAGCCUCCCCGCUGCCUGGACACAAGUGGCCGCUAGAGCAGUGGUUCUCAACCUGUGGGUCGCGACCCUUAUGGGGGUUGAACGACCCUUUCACAGAGGUCACCUAAGACCAUCG
Long non-coding RNA from Pipistrellus kuhlii (Kuhl's pipistrelle), 116 nucleotides. RefSeq lists it as uncharacterized. Lineage: Eukaryota; Metazoa; Chordata; Mammalia; Chiroptera; Vespertilionidae. The record is from RefSeq and is a predicted model, not a curated record. The transcript has 6 exons.